UGAAGGGUGGAGGAGAUGUGGCGUGAGGGAAGUCAGGAGGUGAAGGGUGGAGGAGAGGUGGCGUGAGGGAAGGCAGGAGGUGAAGGGUGGAGGAGAGGUGGUGUGAGGAAAGGCAGGAGGUGAAGGGUGGAGGAGAGAUAACUGGACAGGAGGAGAAUUGGGUGGAGAAUGGGUGGAGUGGGACGAUGUGAUGGUAAUCAGCUUAUAACCCCCCUACAUAAUGAACACGUGAUCUGUGUAUUUCCUCAUGCAGGAUGAAAUGCAACGUGAAGGAAUGACGUCUUGUGUGCGUCGGUCAUGUUGAUAUAAAUAACAUCUUCGUUGGCUAAUUUCCGUUUAAACAGCGCCGACUGUCUCGCUGCUUCCCAGAUAACCGGCUAAUUAGUUCCUCGUGGUUUAACCAUCUAACAUAUGGCAUGAAAUGAAAACACAUAUACGUGUUCAAAGGGGUAAAAUACAGCAGAAUAACAGGUUAUGUCUGAACAGAGCAGCUUGGUUAUAAAGGAAGCAGCAAAUACAUUUUAUUUUUUAGAAUGUUGUAUUUUAGAACGUUUAGAAAUUGCCAGAAAUAUUACGAACAAAAUGAAACAUGCGAGUUCUCAUAAAAGCAGCAAAUCUAAUGCGCUUGGAAAAAGAUGUUUCCCCUUUGAUGAUUUAUUACUGAGAACAAACAAAAUGUCCCUCUGAUUCCUUAUUUUCAUGCAAGAUGAAUGAGCACAGCUGGUUCCCCGUUUACUGUAGAAAAGCACUUAAAAAAUACAAUGUGCUUACAGAUACACAAAAGGUUUCAUUAUCCAUAAUACUUUCAUAUUGACCCGCGACCUUUGUCGUGUGAAGGUCACGUGGCCGAUGGGACGCUCUACGAAGUUGUUGAUUUCUGUGUGAAAAAAUGAAAUUGGAAAUUUGCUGGUCAGCAAAACACAUGAAAAACUCUUCAAUAGCUCUUCUCUCUCUCUCUCUCUCUCUCUCUCUCUCUAAAACAUAUUUCCUCUCUGUGUGAACGGACGUCGUUUUCCCCCCUCAGACCUCCGUCCACGCAGAUGUUACCAGCUGUUUGGAUGGAUUCAGGAGGUUGAUUAGAUCCGGUGAUUAAACGAUGGCCUUAAACCAGUUCUACGACAGCACUGUGAAUAUUGGCUGUC
Molecule: long non-coding RNA, 1142 nt
Organism: Gasterosteus aculeatus aculeatus (three-spined stickleback)
Lineage: Eukaryota; Metazoa; Chordata; Actinopteri; Perciformes; Gasterosteidae
Source: Ensembl